GAUGAACGCUGGCGGCGUGCCUAAUACAUGCAAGUCGAGCGAACGGACGCGAAGCUUGCUUCUCUGAUGUUAGCGGCGGACGGGUGAGUAACACGUGGAUAACCUACCUAUAAGACUGGGAUAACUUCGGGAAACCGGAUCUAAUACCGGAUAAUAUUUUGAACCGCAUGGUUCAAAAGUGAAAGACGGUCUUGCUGUCACUUAUAGAUGGAUCCGCGCUGUAUUAGCUAGUUGGUAAGGUAACGGCUUACCAAGGCAACGAUGCAUAGCCGACCUGAGAGGGUGAUCGGCCACACUGGAACUUAGACACGGUCCAGACUCCUACGGGAGGCAGCAGUAGGGAAUCUUCCGCAAUGGGCGAAAGCCUGACGGAGCAACGCCGCGUGAGUGAUGAAGGUCUUCGGAUCGUAAAACUCUGUUAUUAGGGAAGAACAUAUGUGUAAGUAACUGUGCACAUCUUGACGGUACCUAAUCAGAAAGCCACGGCUAACUACGUG
Molecule: ribosomal RNA, 497 nt
Filed under: uncultured bacterium
Lineage: Bacteria
Description: partial 16S ribosomal RNA
Rfam family: Bacterial small subunit ribosomal RNA
Source: RNAcentral